CUACAGGCUUAACACAUGCAAGUCGAGGGGCAUCAGGAAGAAAGCUUGCUUUCUUUGCUGGCGACCGGCGCACGGGUGAGUAACACGUAUCCAACCUGCCCUUUACUCGGGGAUAGCCUUUCGAAAGAAAGAUUAAUACCCGAUGGCAUAAUGAUUCCGCAUGGUUUCAUUAUUAAAGGAUUCCGGUAAAGGAUGGGGAUGCGUUCCAUUAGGUUGUUGGUGAGGUAACGGCCCACCAAGCCUUCGAUGGAUAGGGGUUCUGAGAGGAAGGUCCCCCACAUUGGAACUGAGACACGGUCCAAACUCCUACGGGAGGCAGCAGUGAGGAAUAUUGGUCAAUGGGCGGUAGCCUGAACCAGCCAAGUAGCGUGAAGGAUGAAGGCUCUAUGGGUCGUAAACUUCUUUUAUAUAAGAAUAAAGUGCAGUAUGUAUACUGUUUUGUAUGUAUUAUAUGAAUAAGGAUCGGCUAACUCCGUGCCAGCAGCCGCGGUAAUACGGAGGAUCCGAGCGUUAUCCGGAUUUAUUGGGUUUAAAGGGAGCGUAGGUGGACUGGUAAGUCAGUUGUGAAAGUUUGCGGCUCAACCGUAAAAUUGCAGUUGAUACUGUCAGUCUUGAGUACAGUAGAGGUGGGCGGAAUUCGUGGUGUAGCGGUGAAAUGCUUAGAUAUCACGAAGAACUCCGAUUGCGAAGGCAGCUCACUGGACUGCAACUGACACUGAUGCUCGAAAGUGUGGGUAUCAAACAGGAUUAGAUACCCCUGGUAGUCCACACAGUAAACGAUGAAUACUCGCUGUUUGCGAUAUACAGUAAGCGGCCAAGCGAAAGCAUUAAGUAUUCCACCUGGGGAGUACGCCGGCAACGGUGAAACUCAAAGGAAUUGACGGGGGCCCGCACAAGCGGAGGAACAUGUGGUUUAAUUCGAUGAUACGCGAGGAACCUUACCCGGGCUUAAAUUGCAGUGGAAUGAUGUGGAAACAUGUCAGUGAGCAAUCACCGCUGUGAAGGUGCUGCAUGGUUGUCGUCAGCUCGUGCCGUGAGGUGUCGGCUUAAGUGCCAUAACGAGCGCAACCCUUAUCUUCAGUUACUAACAGGUCAUGCUGAGGACUCUGGAGAGACUGCCGUCGUAAGAUGUGAGGAAGGUGGGGAUGACGUCAAAUCAGCACGGCCCUUACGUCCGGGGCUACACACGUGUUACAAUGGGGGGUACAGAAGGCAGCUAGCGGGUGACCGUAUGCUAAUCCCAAAAGCCUCUCUCAGUUCGGAUCGAAGUCUGCAACCCGACUUCGUGAAGCUGGAUUCGCUAGUAAUCGCGCAUCAGCCACGGCGCGGUGAAUACGUUCCCGGGCCUUGUACACACCGCCCGUCAAGCCAUGGGAGCCGGGGGUACCUGAAGUACGUAACCACAAGGAUCGUCCUAGGGUAAAACUGGUGACUGGGGCC
This 1440-nucleotide ribosomal RNA is filed under the name uncultured organism. Its description in RNAcentral is "SSU rRNA". It matches the Rfam family "Bacterial small subunit ribosomal RNA". The record is from RNAcentral.